Cydia splendana is the source of this 465-nucleotide long non-coding RNA. RefSeq lists it as uncharacterized. The record is from RefSeq and is a predicted model, not a curated record. Lineage: Eukaryota; Metazoa; Arthropoda; Insecta; Lepidoptera; Tortricidae. The transcript is spliced from 3 exons.
AAGAUCAUUCUCGCUGACCUGUUGACCACGUUAGUCGCAUCCGACGUCAUGGCUCGUUUUGUUUUUCUUUUAUGUUUUAUUAUUUAUAUGGGGACUGCCACAACAUCUGAUAGCAAUGACAAACAAUGCACCAAGUCCCACGAAAGAUGGACGGACUGCUACAUCGGUGAAUGUGCGCCUAUCAAAUGUGGCGACCUGGGCAAACCACUGGCAUGUGCCUCUAUAGCACCGCCUUGCGCCGGUGGCUGUAUUUGCGAACAAGACUUUGUGAGGAACGAGAAUGACGAUUGUAUAGAUGCCAAGACAUGCCCAAACUGUGGCGGAGAUCCUCAUGCACAAAGUGGCUGUGCCAAUCCUUGUAGACCAACUUGUGCAAACCCAGCUGGCAAACCUGCAACGGAGUGUACCACAUUUUGUCAAUUUAAUGGCUGUGACUGCAAGGAGAGCUACAUUUUGAACACAGAU